Molecule: long non-coding RNA, 512 nt
Organism: Triticum urartu
Lineage: Eukaryota; Viridiplantae; Streptophyta; Magnoliopsida; Poales; Poaceae
Source: RefSeq, a predicted model, not a curated record
UUGCAACACCAAUUCCUUCAGCUUUCACUUUCGGCCCUUAUGACGCUCUCCUACUCCAAGCAAGAGGUCGGUCCAGAUUCGUGCCCGUUAAAGCAGACAGGAAGGAAGAAGGCUCCGCCUCAUCAAGGUCUUUAUUCAGUGAGGCAGUGCCUCUGAGUUGGACGCCAUGGUGCCGUGGAGGCUGGAGGCGCGACUGGCAGAGACGGUGAGGGCAGCGCUCCUCGGCUGGCUCUUCUUCUGCAUCACCGUCGCCAGCAAUGUCGCACAUGCGCUCAGAAGCAGCGAUCUCUCCAUCUAAGGCCGGCCACGUUCAACAUCGCCGGCUGCCUUUUCAACUCUGCGCCUGCAAAGUGGCAGUUCAUUGGACACGCAGGAAGAAAAUUGAUUUACAGCAGUGUAACCAGACAGUGAGUUCAUCCAUGAGAGAAUGAGUUCAAUGUAAAGGUGAAAUAUUCAUAUAGAUUAGAUGUAAAAUCUUGUAUCAAACAGAGAAAUACUGGCUAUUGCUCAAA